UAAGUGUGGGGAUAAGGUGUGAAUGGAAGUGUGAGGCGAGGCUCUUCCGGACUGUCCAAUCUAUCCGCGUCAUCUGUUGCUUCCGGAGGGGUCAUGCCGUCACCCACACUCUCCGGGCCAGAGGGAACGUUGUCAUCACUCGUAUCCGGCAUGCGCGCUGCCGACUCCUGCUUGUCAUCAUUUUUAGGUUCGUAGUUGGUGCGUAGAUGACGGGAUGUGCGCCUUCUUCCAUCUGUCAGUAUGUAUGAUCUUGGCGCUUCAUGUUGUUCUCUAACACUGCUAGGUGUCCAUUUCUCUCGUUCACGAACCAGCACAUCGUCACCUGGCCUGAAUUCUGGUCGUUCUUUUGCAGUUCGGUUAUAGUAGUACUCCUGGCGAGCUUGUUGCUUUUGAAGACCUGCCGCAGGGUCCACCGUCUUGGGUUCCAGCUUUUUCGCUGGCAUUGGCAGUCGGUCCCGCAGCCUGCGUCCCAUGAGCACCUGUGCUCGGCUGUAUUCUGUGCCGGAGAUUCUGGUGUUCCGAUAGUUCAGCAGCGCCAACUCUGGAUCCAUUGAGUGGUCUUCCAGCGCUUUUUUCAUAAUUCGUUUCACUAUUUUCACCAUAUUUUCACUUUUUCCAUUGCUUUGGCUGUAUGUCGGUGAGCUUGUGACUAUUUUGAAUUGCCACUCUUUUGCAAAUUCCUUCAUCUCUUUGCUCGCGUAUGGCAUGUUGUCUGCUAUCAUGACUUCCGGUAUGCCGUGGCGAGAGAAGAUGUUCUUGAGCUUGGUAAUGACAGCUGCCGAGGUUUUGGUCGUGCCUAGACAGUUGACUUCUGGGUACUUUGAAGUGUAGUCAGCUACGACCAGGUACUAGCGUCCAUUGAACUCCAGUAUGUCACUCCCAAGCUUGGUCCAAGGUAGUUUUGGUAUCUCAUGUGGUAGCAUUGGUUCACGGCAGUUGCUUGGUUGGAAUCGCUGACACACUGGGCAUCGCUUGACCAUGUCUUCAAUAUCUUGC
Long non-coding RNA from Sycon ciliatum, 996 nucleotides. RefSeq lists it as uncharacterized. The record is from RefSeq and is a predicted model, not a curated record. The transcript has 2 exons. NCBI's taxonomy places the organism in Eukaryota, Metazoa, Porifera, Calcarea, Leucosolenida, Sycettidae.